AGAGUUUGAUCCUGGCUCAGGACGAACGCUGGCGGCGCGCCUAACACAUGCAAGUCGAACGGGACUGUUCAAUCGGAAGUUUUCGGAUGGAAGAGUGGACAGUUUAGUGGCGAACGGGUGAGUAACGCGUGAGUAACCUGCCCUUCAGAGGGGGACAACAGUUGGAAACGACUGCUAAUACCGCAUAAGCCCACGGUGUCACAUGACACAGUGAGAAAAGGAGAAAUCCGCUGAAAGAUGGACUCGCGUCUGAUUAGAUAGUUGGUGGGGUAACGGCCUACCAAGUCGACGAUCAGUAGCCGGACUGAGAGGUUGAACGGCCACAUUGGGACUGAGAGACGGCCCAGACUCCUACGGGAGGCAGCAGUGGGGAAUAUUGCACAAUGGGGGAAACCCUGAUGCAGCGACGCCGCGUGAAGGAAGAAGGUAUUCGUAUUGUAAACUUCUGUCGCAGAUGACGAAUGAUGACGGUAAUCUGCAAGAAAGCACCGGCUAACUACGUGCCAGCAGCCGCGGUAAAACGUAGGGUGCUAGCGUUGUCCGGAAUUACUGGGUGUAAAGGGAGCGCAGGUGGCAGUGCAAGUUGGAUGUAAAAUCUACGGGCUCAACCCGUAUAAGCAUUCAAAACUGUGCAGCUUGAGUGAAGUAGAGGUAGGUGGAAUUUCCGGUGUAGCGGUGGAAUGCGUAGAUAUCGGAAGGAACAUCAGUGGCGAAGGCGACCUACUGGGCUUUAACUGACGCUGAGGCUCGAAAGCAUGGGUAGCAAACAGGAUUAGAUACCCUGGUAGUCCAUGCUGUAAACGAUGAUUACUAGGUGUGGGGGCGAAAGCUUCCGUGCCGGAGUUAACACAAUAAGUAAUCCACCUGGGGAGUACGACCGCAAGGUUGAAACUCAAAGGAAUUGACGGGGGCCCGCACAAGCAGUGGAAGUAUGUGGGUUUAAUUCGAAGCAACGCGAAGAACCUUACCAGGUCUUGACAUCGUGCGCAAAGGCAAAAGAUUGCUGAAAUCACUCUUUUUAGAAUGACGUUAAAAACAGGUGGUGCCAUGGGUGUCCUCCACCUCCUGUCCUGAGAUGUUGGGUUAAGUCCCGCAACGAGCGCAACCCUUAUCAUUAGUUACUACGAAAGAGGACUCUAAUGAGACUGCCGUUGAGAAAACGGAGGAAGGUGGGGAUGACGUCAAAUCAUCAUGCCCCUUAUGACCUGGGCUACACACGUACUACAAUGGCUGUCAACAAAGUGAACCAAAUACGCGAGUAAGAGGGAAACACAAAAAACAGUCACAGUUCGGAUUGUAGGCUGCAACUCGCCUACAUGAAGCCGGAAUUGCUAGUAAUCGCGGAUCAGCAUGCCGCGGUGAAUACGUUCCCGGGCCUUGUACACACCGCCCGUC
RNAcentral lists this ribosomal RNA (1395 nucleotides) under uncultured bacterium. Its description in RNAcentral is "bacterial SSU rRNA". It matches the Rfam family "Bacterial small subunit ribosomal RNA". The record is from RNAcentral.